ACUGAACGCUGGCGGCAUGCCUUACACAUGCAAGUCGAACGGCAGCACGGGUGCUUGCACCUGGUGGCGAGUGGCGAACGGGUGAGUAAUACAUCGGAACGUACCUUAUCGUGGGGGAUAACGCAGCGAAAGCUGUGCUAAUACCGCAUACGCCCUGAGGGGGAAAGCGGGGGAUCGAAAGACCUCGCGCGAUUAGAGCGGGCGAUGCCUGAUUAGCUUGUUGGGGGGGUAAAAGCCCACCAAGGCGACGAGCAGUAGCUGGUCUGAGAGGACCAUCAGCCACACUGGGACUGAGAAACGGCCCAGACUCCUACGGGAGGCAGCAGUGGGGAAUUUUGGACAAUGGGGGCAACCCUGAUCCAGCAAUGCCGCAUGAGUGAAGAAGGCCUUCGGGUUGUAAAGCUCUUUUGUCAGGGAAGAAACACCGGCUCUAACACAGUCCGGGAAUGACGGUACCUGAAGAAUAAGCACCGGCUAACUACGUGCCAGCAGCCGCCGUAA
RNAcentral lists this ribosomal RNA (501 nucleotides) under uncultured bacterium. RNAcentral describes it as "partial 16S ribosomal RNA". It matches the Rfam family "Bacterial small subunit ribosomal RNA", at positions 30 to 523 of the family's 1533-position model. The record is from RNAcentral.